ACGCUCGACACCUACGGGAGGCGGCAGUGGGGAAUAUUGCACAAUGGGGGAAACCCUGAUGCAGCGACGCCGCGUGAAGGAAGAAGUAUCUCGGUAUGUAAACUUCUAUCAGCAGGGAAGAAAAUGACGGUACCUGACUAAGAAGCCCCGGCUAACUACGUGCCAACAGCCGCGGUAAUCUGAGCGGGCUGGCAAGGC
RNAcentral lists this ribosomal RNA (198 nucleotides) under uncultured bacterium. Its description in RNAcentral is "partial 16S ribosomal RNA". It matches the Rfam family "Bacterial small subunit ribosomal RNA", at positions 328 to 539 of the family's 1533-position model. The record is from RNAcentral.